GCAGUGGAGAUAACAACCCUACGUCUCGUGCUCCAGAGAGGCUUCAUGUUAUCUGUCAUGGACAUGAGUUACAUGGUAUAGAGAGAGAGCCGGAGCUCGAGGGAAAGAAUGAGCCCGAAGGAGAAGUUCCCCCCUAGCUAUGUGGAGGGGGGUGGCUUAUAUAGAGUGCGCCACCUCCUCACCUCUUAUGUUACAAGAUGGGGCAUUGAUGCCAUAAUGUCAAC
This 224-nucleotide long non-coding RNA is filed under the name Hordeum vulgare. RNAcentral's name for it is "long non-coding RNA (HVUL_LNC005225)". The record is from RNAcentral. Lineage: Eukaryota; Viridiplantae; Streptophyta; Magnoliopsida; Poales; Poaceae.